Long non-coding RNA from Olea europaea var. sylvestris, 2079 nucleotides. RefSeq lists it as uncharacterized. The record is from RefSeq and is a predicted model, not a curated record. Lineage: Eukaryota; Viridiplantae; Streptophyta; Magnoliopsida; Lamiales; Oleaceae. The transcript has 4 exons.
UCGGUUUACCUCUUCCAAAGUAGGAAAUAUUGUCCAGACAUUCAUUUUGAGGCCCAAAUGGUCUUUUCAUGUAUUGGUCCAGAGUCAGGGAAUGAGUUGAAGACGAGAUGCAGAUAAAGCCUGUUGUAAAGAUCCCGAAACAAAAGAAGCAAAGAGCGGAAAUUUUGAAUUGAUUCUUAUCAAAGAAAGACAAUGGUGAAUGGAUGGGGCCAAGAGCUGAGAUAAAGAUCUCUCAGUUCAGACAUUCAUUUUUAUGCCCAAAUGGCCUUCAUGGUGAAUGGAUGGGACCAAGAGCUGAAAUGAAGAAAAACAUAAUGGACCGUCAUUUCUUAAUUUGCUUGAUCUUUUCCUUUAAUGAAAGUUGCUUCAUUCUGCUGCCUUUAUCUUCAAAUUAUUAAUUAAUUUUCUAGCACCCAUGUUAAAUAUCCAACCGGUAAUAUUGUCAGUUUGACUGAAAAUUCAUGGCAAGACCUCGUCAAGAGUAAAUAAUUGCUGCAUUCAUACGCGUACUUUUUUUUGUGGGGAUGAGAGUUUAUAAGCUAGUAAUUUCUAUUUUCCUAUCCUACAUGUAUAAAAAAGCGAAUGGUCACGUGUCACGAUUUCCCAUUGUCACUCGACCAUUAGCUCAAACAUCUAUUCAUCCCACUCUACAAUCUCAUACCUCUAAAAUCUGAUCAAAUCUUGACCCAAAAGCUCAUCUGCACCCACGGCCAUACCUUCAUCCAAUUCCGUUCAAAACUGCAAUACCCAUGACCAAACUCCAUCAUAGACUAUUUAUAAAAUCGAAGACGAGCAGUUAUAUGGUAACAUAUCAUCAAGAAACAUUUUAAAUUAGAAUCUCGUAUAUGUUUAUUAUACUUUCAUGUAACCAUUUGAUUUCAAUUUCUAUGAAUUUUGCUUUUCAAUUUUUUGUUCUCUUGAAUUAAUCAUCAUUUUUCCUAAAUUUUUAAUUGAUUAUUGUGUUUCAUUUUAGGUUUGCACAAAAGAGCGAAGCCAUGGUAUUAAUUUUGUUCAAAGAUAGCUACGAGAUCAUGGUGAAUUCUAGCUUGUGAAAUAAUUUUUUUAGGACUAUACUAUUGGAAUUUAUUUCAAAAAUUAUUCGGUUCUUAAACUUGUUGUAAAAUCUUAAGUUAAAAGCGUAUGAGGAAAGGCAAAAAAGGCGAAAAAUGCUUGUAAAUUUGAUAAAACUCUUUGGCUUGAUUAUUAUUAUGAAAAGGAAAUAAAAACACUUUGGCAGAAGGAAAACAAUCCGUGCACCACACGGAGACUGUCUCCGUGCUGCGUAGAGAGUGCUCUCUGCAUAGUGUGGAGAGCGCACUGUGCAUGGAGUCAUUUGGCUUGUCCAAAAUUUUUACCCUAAAUUUCUAUCUCGUCCCUCAAAUCUCUCUCAAUAGACAAGAGGCUAAAGAAAACUUCCUGCAAGUUGAUGAUUAUGGUCGAGAAAUAGAACAAGUGAGGAGCAGGGACUAUUCAGUGUAGUGUAGUUGGGAGAUUUUGAGAAUGUUUUGGAAAGGGAUCCAACUUUUAUUCAUCAGUCCACAGUGUAUGAUCGCCACUCUGCUUUGCACAUUGCUGCUGCUAAUGGUCAAACGGAGGUGGGCUUCUUGGUAUUUCUUGAAAUUUUGAUGUUUUCUCAUUUCUGGUUCUGCUUUGGGGAUUUCAGAUUCUUUCUAUGCUCUGGGACCGAUACGUCAAUCCCGAUUUAUUGAAUUGCCACAAGCAGUGCAUGGAAAGAUCUCAUGUGUGAAGAAACUCAUUGAAGCUGGGCGAAUUUUUUUUUUUCCUCCCAAUCCCAUAUCUUCUCUAAUAAGCCAUUUUCAAGUAAUCUGUAUUUAUUUAUAUGCAUUUACAUUUGUGUUGGUGUUCAUUAUUGACUGUGCUAAUCGUGAAUAUUGGGCCAGAUUUUAAUUUUCGAUUCACUAAAUGAAGGACAUGCUUACACUAUGCUGCUUAUUAUGGUCAUUCUGAUUGCCUUAAAGCUAUUCUUUAGACUGCUUGCACCUCCCAGGUGGCUGUUUCAUGGUAGGUUUCUCAGGGAUAGAUUAACUUUAUGCUGUUAAGAAUUAUGCCUUAGUCUCA